CAUACUUUAAGAUAUUGGAGUAAUGGUUCUUCUUCUCCAUUUUACUCUUCUCUCUAUCUGUUCUGUUAUUUCUGCCAGAGCCAGAGCUCUUCAACAGCGUACUUCAAUGCUAUCCGCAUUCGGGUGAAUUCUCAGAUAAAUGCCCUUUCACCAUUCUUAUUUCAUGGGACAUAUUCAAGAGUUGUAAUUAAAAAGAUAAAUAGAAGGGGAAAGAAUAUGAUCGGAGCAAAAGAUGGAGAGACGAAAGACGACCAAUGAGUUUUUCCAGCGCAGUAUUCCAGACGCAAUUUGAUACAAACUUGGGGAAGGAAGAAGAGGGAGAAAAAUUGGGUCGAUGCUGUCAUGGCAGAAUGCACCAUGGAUUACAACUUAUGGAGAUUUCAUGGCACAUUGAUAAUGCAUUGUUAGGAGAACAGGCAAGUUGCAGAUCCUGGAUGAAUUGGCAAAAAAAAAAAAAAAAAAAAAAUUGGCUAGAUCCAAUAUCACAUAAGUGGACUUGAAGGUAACAGUAGCUUGGAACAGACCAUUUCUUGAAAAUCAUUUGACAUACUUUAGCUAAUAAUUAGUUCUUCCUGAAGUCUCAUGUGGAUUGUUUUUCAUCAUCAUCAUGUAAUUAGGAUGCUUUACCUGCCAUUUGGGAUUAUAGCACUGGAGGUGCUCUCUAUAGUAGUAAGAUAACUUUCUUCUAAACUUUUCUGGCAAAACAUGGGUAGUGCGUGUUUCACCGCUCAAUUUUUUUAAAUAAUUUUUUUCUUUACGUACAUAUAUUCAACGAAGUUUAUAUUGGUGGAGUUAUUUAGUUUGUAAAGAUUCGUUGAAACUUUAGAUUAAUUAAUUUUUAUUUAAGCAUUUAAGAUUAAUCUCGCAAAUAGCUUAUACUUCCCUUUAUAACCACAGCUAAUACCAAGUGGAGGUGCAGACCUGCAAUUUAACUGCUUCCUUCAGCUACAUGGGAUAAAGGUAAAAUAACUUGCUGGGUAUUGUUGUAUUUACCAUAGAUAUAAUUGAUAUAAUGGUUUUCCAACUCAGAUGGGUACGCGCGCUAUACCUGAUAUAACUUUACGUUCUCAUAACGUUGCAUAAGAAUAUAAGGAAUGAAACCAAAGACAUAGUCUGCUUGGCUAUGUGCUAACCUUUACAUAGCCUACUUGGUUUUGUUAAAGUAAUAUUAACCGAAUUACAUUAGUGAUGUUAUCUAUUGAGCAUUACAUUUGCUAUUUUUAACUCUUUUGUUGGCUUUCGUCGUUCCGUGUACAUUUUUACUAUGUUGGAAAAUGAUGAAAUUUCAAAAACCAUGCUAAUUUCAUUCGAUGAUACUGGAAUAACAUUGUUCUGUGACAUGAAUCAUAAAUAUUUGGUUCUUCAUUAGGGUACUAUCGUAAUUUUAGCUAAACGUAUAAGUUAUGCCAAGGUUAUUGAUACCUCAACUUGAUAUAAAAAUCCAUCAAAUUAUCUAAUAUGCUAAAUCACUUCUCUUCCGUCUUAGCAAGUAUAUUUGUAUAAUUUUCUGAAAUGCGCCUAUUUUAGCCAAAUAGUAAAUUUUGGCAUAUAGGUUUCAAUAGGUACCUAAAGUUUUAAAAAAAUCUUUUGGAACCUAUAUGCCAAAAACACACUAAAUUUCAAGAUGCAGAAAUUGAAGUGAUCACAAGAAUUUUAUACAUCAAAAUGAUGACUGGAAAGCUAUUUUUUACACUAAGGUAUAAAUUAGGUAUUUCCACAAUCACUGUAAUAUGCUAUGCCAUGAUUUAGGACUCAGGAACAUAUCAUUUAGUAGGCUUAUAUUAGUUUCUCAAUGCUUUCUUAGUUGAUGGUGAUUUCUCAAAUUUGCUGGUAACCAAAAUCAUGGAGUCUUGUUCAUACUACUCAAAGCUAUUACUACAAAGAAUAUGUUGUAGUUGUUGUUUCUUGCUUCUUGAAGUCAGAGAAUUACUAUGUAAAGGAAUCUUCACUUUUUCGUCUUUGAUAAAUAUUGUACACAAAAUAAUAUAUUUUAUGGUAAAGUUAGUAUUUUACAUCAAAAACCA
Molecule: long non-coding RNA, 2024 nt
Organism: Nicotiana tabacum (common tobacco)
Lineage: Eukaryota; Viridiplantae; Streptophyta; Magnoliopsida; Solanales; Solanaceae
Source: RefSeq, a predicted model, not a curated record